Salvelinus sp. IW2-2015 is the source of this 745-nucleotide long non-coding RNA. RefSeq lists it as uncharacterized. NCBI's taxonomy places the organism in Eukaryota, Metazoa, Chordata, Actinopteri, Salmoniformes, Salmonidae. The record is from RefSeq and is a predicted model, not a curated record.
CAUUUUCAUGUAUAAUAUGUGAAAGUAUAGCUUACAAAACAAACAAUACUGACUUUUGAUGAGGUCUAAAAGCUUGAAAGGAAACAGAAAAUGAGGUAUCUCAGUUUAAACUGAGUCUAGUUUGUUUGUCUCUGCUCUGGUGUUAACUCUGACUGGGCUGGAGCAGACUGCUACAGGACAUAAACAGACACUCACUGGGCUGCUGCUGGACCACAAGAGGAGUUUCCAAGAUCUGACGCAGUAUGUAUUUCCGAGUGUUCACUCUAACGAAGAGAAGAAGAAGAGGUGUGCUGGGAACCUUCCUCCUCUCCUUCCUCUCCCUCCUCCUCCUCCUCUGUCCUACCAGGAAUGGGAUAGGAUCAACCCAGAUGAUUCAGAGGUCCCUAGCCUGGGCCUGGAAGGGCUUGGGCUGAGGAACACACCCUCUGCUGGAAACACAGAAAUAUGUAGCAAGACUCCUGAGCCUUUAUCCAUAGAGGAUGUGUGUCAACGCAACCCGUCAGGGGUGAUAGGUUGUGGAUAUAAGCUUUGGAGGAAUUAUGACGAGGAGACAGCCUAUUGAGUAUCUUCUUUUGAUGUGAUGGCCGCUAGGCUACACCAAUCACCAAUCACCAAUACCAUGAAUAAGAUAAAAGGAUUAUGAGAUUAUGUAUUAUUUUAGACCAGUUCACUUAGAGACCAGUUCACUGAGAGACCAGUUCACUUAGAGACCAGUUCACUUAGAGACUAGUUCACUUAGAGACCA